AAUCGAGCAUUGUGCCACUGUCUGUUUCUUUCUCCUGGGGCUAAAACUGUGCUCUCGGCAUAUGAACAAACAGUACAACUGCUCCUCCCUUCAACUAUGAGGAUUUAAACUUGUCUCUGUUAAAAGACCUCCAUGAAAUUCACGGUAAGCGCAUACAUUAUUUAACCAUCAACAAAUAAAAAUGGCUCCAUGUGGUUUGCUACAUCCACUGUCCUUAGUCUCCUUUGAAAGUAAAAUGCAAUUCACUGCAAGUCAAGAUCUCUCCUUUACAAGAAGCACAUUUCUCAAGCUAACAGAGACCAAGAGCCAAAGUGAUGUGUGGAGCAUCAAGCCUCCAGAUUUCUCUCUGAAACUGUAUAGAUGCCUGUCUGUUCCUCGAAAGAAAGAAGAAAAGAACAUUUUAAAACUAACUGUACCUCAGUGCGGUGAAACAAAGAGGAGAACUGGAAUUUUCCUACCAAAUGUUGUGCAUGUGAAUCCUGAGAGGAAAGACCCUCCGAAGUUCAUCACAUCGUACAGAGCACUGGAUGCUCUGGAGUCUGAACUGAUGUUUGUAAAGAUGGGAAAAUAUAAUUCUGGACCUUACAAAAACCCUAAACCUCACAACUUCAGACCACUUGAUGAGGACCUUCCAGAUAUAAUAACUGCAUAUGAGAGAGACCCUGGCAACCUGAAUUUAAAAUUAACAAACUUGGAUACAUUGGGGCCCACCAGAUCUGAGACAGACUUCAAGUGCAGAGAUACCAAGACACAAAUGGGCACCUAUAAACCUGCAGAGCCUAAAUGGGAUCCAAAGCUCAUCCUCCCUCCGCUGCCCUGGCCUCCAAAAUCAGCUUCCUAUACGAGACACCAACGAAGAAGAGGAGCAUACAGUGCGUUCUUGGACCGUGUGGAAGAGAAACUCUGUAGACAGUGGGAAAAUAAAUCAUGACUCUUUUUUUCCUCUUUAUCUUUUCAAAGUAAUAAUUAAGUGAUCAAUUUUGCUGUUUAAUGUGGA
Molecule: long non-coding RNA, 997 nt
Organism: Amphiprion ocellaris (clown anemonefish)
Lineage: Eukaryota; Metazoa; Chordata; Actinopteri; Pomacentridae
Source: Ensembl